Molecule: RNA transcript, 1809 nt
Organism: Syzygium oleosum
Lineage: Eukaryota; Viridiplantae; Streptophyta; Magnoliopsida; Myrtales; Myrtaceae
Gene name: linamarin synthase 1-like
Exons: 4
Source: RefSeq, a predicted model, not a curated record
GUUUUCACACGUGUAUCUCCCUCGUCUAACACUACUUGCAUAAACUCUCUUUUGCGCAUCUGGUAUAGAUCUGAAAAGACCGACCGAAAUUGAAUAGAUUUGGCAAACUUUAGAUCAAUUUCAAGUUCCAUCACUCAGUAUACACUUCUUGAUCUUGCCCAAGAGAGACAGACAGUUGAUGGGUUCGUCACCCCUCGAAUCAAGAAAAUCCCGUGCACUUGCACACGCCGUGUGCGUCCCCUUCCCGGCCCAAGGCCACGUCAACCCCAUGAUGCAGCUUGCCAAGCUCCUCCACGCACGCGGCGUCUUCGUGACGUUCGUGAACACCGAGUUCAACCACCACCGCCUCCUCCGGUCUAAGGGACCCGACUCACUCCGAGUCCUUGAAAACUUCCGCUUCGAGACGAUCCCGGAUGGCCUCCCGCCGUCAGACCGCGAUGCGACGCAGGACAUCCCGGCCCUCUUCGACUCAAUCCGCAAGAACUGCUUAGGCCCUUUCAAGAAAUUGCUUGCCGGGAUCAAGAGUGACGAGGUUGUUCCGCCUGUGAGUUGUGUGAUAUCAGAUGGGGCGACGAGCUUCGCCAGUAAAGCUGCAAGAGAGCUUGGAGUCCCAGAGGUUCAGUUCUGGACUGCCUCAGCUUGUGGGUUAAUGGGUUAUUUGCAGUACAGAGAGCUUGUUAAGAGAGGGAUCGUUCCAUUCAAAGAUGAAGACUUCCUGAACAACGGGAUGCUCGAUGAUCCUGUCGACUGGAUCCCCGGUAUGCGAAACAUCCGACUCCGGGACAUCCCAAGCUUCAUGCGGACCACAGACCUGAACGACAUCAAGUUCGACUUCUUAGGAGAUGAAGCGCAGCACUGCCUGAAAUCAUCUGCUAUCUUGUUCAACACCUUCAAUGAGCUCGAACACGAAGUACUGGAGAAAAUAGCAGACAUGUCCCCUCAAAUUUACUGUACCGGGCCCCUUUCCUUUCUCAUUCAGGAUAUUCCCUGGAGCUCAGUCAAGUCUUUCAGGUCGAGUCUGUGGAAGGAAGACUACAGCUGCCUCGAAUGGCUCGAUCAGAGAGAAGCCGAGUCGGUUGUCUAUGUGAACUAUGGAAGUAUUACUGUCAUGACUGGGGAACACCUGAAGGAGUUUGCUUGGGGACUUGCAAAUAGCAAGCACCCAUUUUUGUGGGUGAUCAGACCUGAUGUUGUGAAGGGUGAUUCUGCAAUUCUGCCACAGGAGUUCCUGGAGGAAGUGAAAGACAGAGGGUUCUUGACAAGUUGGUGUCCGCAGGAUCAAGUCCUGAGUCACGGAUCAGUCGGCGCUUUCCUAACGCACUGCGGGUGGAAUUCUACCUUGGAAGGAAUCUGCGGAGGCGUUCCCCUCAUUUGCUGGCCGUUCUUUGCCGAGCAAACGACAAACUGUCGGUAUGCGUGUACGGAAUGGGGGAUUGGCAUGGAAGUGAACCAGGAUGUGAGGCGCCAGGAAAUAGAAGCUCUUGUUCGGGAAGUGAUGGAAGGGGUCGGCGGGAAGAAGAUGAGGGAGAAUGCUAAGAAGUGGAAGGAGAGAGCUGUGGAAGCCGCCCGUCACGGAGGGUCGUCGUACAACGACUUCAAUAGAUUUAUUAAGGAUGUUGUCCAUUUGAAUGAUUAGAUCAAAGGGAACAAUUACCAGAUUCCCAAGUAUUCCGAAAAUAUAUCGAAACCAUGGUUGAAGAUUUCCCUCUUCUUGUUUCCAAUUUGUUAGUUUGCACUGGUUCCUUCGACAUGGUAUGUUAAAUCAGGAAGCAUUAAAUAAUAUGAAUAAAGAUAUUUACUUUCUUUACA